Molecule: ribosomal RNA, 319 nt
Filed under: uncultured eukaryote
Lineage: Eukaryota
Description: partial 18S ribosomal RNA
Rfam family: Eukaryotic small subunit ribosomal RNA
Source: RNAcentral
CCCCUAGAUGUUCUGGGCCGCACGCGCGCUACACUGAACAGUUCAACAAGUCUUAACCUUGGCCGAUAGGUCUGGGUAAUCUUUGAACGCUGUUCGUGAUUGGGAUAGACCUUUGCAAUUUGGGUCUUCAACGAGGAAUUCCUAGUAAACGCAAGUCAUCAGCUUGCAUUGAUUACGUCCCUGCCCUUUGUACACACCGCCCGUCGCACCUACCGAUUGAAUGGUCCGGUGAAAUCUCGGGACGGCGGCUUGGUCGCUUGCGUCCGACUGCUGAAACUUGAUUAAACCAUAUCAUUUAGAGGAAGGUGAAGUCGUAACA